Molecule: long non-coding RNA, 574 nt
Organism: Heterocephalus glaber (naked mole-rat)
Lineage: Eukaryota; Metazoa; Chordata; Mammalia; Rodentia; Bathyergidae
Source: RefSeq, a predicted model, not a curated record
AAAAAAAAAAAGAAAUGAAUCUAGCCAUUCCACAAAUAUUCAAGGGCUAGACACUGGGGAUUGAAAAGUAAAAAAGGUAAGGUAACUUUCUAGGUGAGAAGACGGUAAAUAAGGUGAUUCCAGAUAGUAACUAGGGUUGUGAAAUUGGUAAGAACUAGGUGGUGAAAUGGGUGCUAGAGGAAGUCUUCCUGAGAAAGGGCCAUUUGAGGUGCUUCCAUUGACGUGAUUCAGAAGUCCGCAGGGCAAUACAGGCUCAAAUAGGACUACAUCACCUUUACACUUCAGAUGGUGUCAACGAAAGAAAGACCUUUAAGAGGGUGCUGGACUGCAAUAACGAACAAGAGAGGUAUAGUACCUGCCCUUAAGAAACCAACAAGUCACAAACAAGUUAUUGCAGAUUUCGGGGGCUGCCAUCCGUCCUGCCGCCCCCGGCCCAGAGGUAGGGGCUUCUGAGCCGCCAUCCCACUGUUCCUGGUCCAGAGGAAGGGGCUUCCUGGCCACCAUCUCUCCUGCUGCUCCCAGCCCAGAGGAAGGGGCUUUGGGGCCACCAUCCAUCCUGCCGCUCCCAGCCCAG